UGGGGAAUAUUGGACAAUGGGCGAAAGCCUGAUCCAGCCAUGCCGCGUGUGUGAAGAAGGUCUUCGGAUUGUAAAGCACUUUAAGUUGGGAGGAAGGGCAGUAAGCUAAUACCUUGCUGUUUUGACGUUACCGACAGAAUAAGCACCGGCUAACUCUGUGCCAGCAGCCGCGGUAAUACAGAGGGGGCAAGCGUUAAUCGGAAUUACUGGGCGUAAAGCGCGCGUAGGUGGUUUGUUAAGUUGGAUGUGAAAGCCCCGGGCUCAACCUGGGAACUGCAUCCAAAACUGGCAAGCUAGAGUACGGAAGAGGGUGGUGGAAUUUCCUGUGUAGCGGUGAAAUGCGUAGAUAUAGGAAGGAACACCAGUGGCGAAGGCGACCACCUGGACUGAUACUGACACUGAGGUGCGAAAGCGUGGGGAGCAAACA
RNAcentral lists this ribosomal RNA (427 nucleotides) under uncultured bacterium. RNAcentral describes it as "partial 16S ribosomal RNA". It matches the Rfam family "Bacterial small subunit ribosomal RNA", at positions 355 to 774 of the family's 1533-position model. The record is from RNAcentral.